GGGCAUGUAGCUCAGUGCUAGAGCACUUGCCUGGUAUUCAUGAGGCCCUGGGGUCCAUGCCUA
RNAcentral lists this transfer RNA (63 nucleotides) under Heterocephalus glaber (naked mole-rat). It matches the Rfam family "tRNA". Rfam says of the family: Transfer RNA (tRNA) molecules are approximately 80 nucleotides in length. Their secondary structure includes four short double-helical elements and three loops (D, anti-codon, and T loops). The record is from Rfam by way of RNAcentral. Lineage: Eukaryota; Metazoa; Chordata; Mammalia; Rodentia; Bathyergidae.